CCUACGGGAGGCAGCAGUGGGGAAUAUUGGUCAAUGGGCGAGAGCCUGAACCAGCCAAGUCGCGUGAAGGAAGAAGGUCUUAUGGAUUGUAAACUUCUUUUAUAGGGGAAUAAAGAUGAGUACGUGUACUCAGUUGUAGGUACCCUAAGAAUAAGGAUCGGCUAACUCCGUGCCAGCAGCCGCGGUAAUACGGAGGAUCCGAGCGUUAUCCGGAUUUAUUGGGUUUAAAGGGUGCGUAGGCGGGUUGAUAAGUCAGUGGUGAAAGGUUUGCGCUCAACGUAGACAUUGCCAUUGAAACUGUCAGUCUUGAGUACAAAUGAGGUAGGCGGAAUGUGUUGUGUAGCGGUGAAAUGCAUAGAUAUGACACAGAACACCAAUUGCGAAGGCAGCUUACUGGGAUGUAACUGACGCUGAGGCACGAAAGCGUGGGGAUCAAACAGGAUUAGAUACCCUGGUAGUCCACGCAGUAAACGAUGAUUACUAGCUGCUAGCGAUAGAAUGUUAGUGGCUAAGCGAAAGCGAUAAGUAAUCCACCUGGGGAGUACGACCGCAAGGUUGAAACUCAAAGGAAUAGACGG
RNAcentral lists this ribosomal RNA (578 nucleotides) under uncultured bacterium. Its description in RNAcentral is "bacterial SSU rRNA". It matches the Rfam family "Bacterial small subunit ribosomal RNA", at positions 338 to 916 of the family's 1533-position model. The record is from RNAcentral.